ACACGCGAAGACUAGCCGCGAGAGGACUGUGCUAGUGAGGUGGCCGCCGCGGGGACCCAGGCGGGGGUGAGCUUAGAGGCAGAAGGCCACGAUAAUAGGCAUGACCCCCUGGACUAGGAUUUCCGGAGUGGUCAUAAGAUGCCAAGAGUUCAAGAGGACUGAAGGAGGAUGUCAAGCACACCAGAUACGAGCAGAGCUUGCCCUUUAGCCCCGACGUCAUAAAAGCGGACCUGGUGACCCGAAGGGCCGGACCUGGCAGUCCAAGGAGACCGGAAGUAACCAGCUGCUGGUGGUGUUGGUUCAGCCGCUCAGUGAUAUCAUUUGCAAGAUGACUGCCCAGCUUCAGCCAUCCCAUCCUUGUCCAAGGCAGGAGGAGCAAGAGAUUUGGGAAGCCUUCCGGAAAUCAGCGAAGGCGCUCGCUGCAUCUUGGUGAAAUAGAACCUGUGUGAUGGGAGAGAGAAUCUCCACUGAGAAGAGUUCCUGCGAGGAGAGGAAAAGCUGUAAGGAACCAGAGACUGCCAGCCACUUAGGGGCAAGCAUAAUCUAGACCCUCUGAGGUAUUCUGACCCUCAGAGUAAGUGGGGGGAUGAGGAUAACACAAACUCUAGAACAGGGUACCCCAGGCAGACAGAGAACUUGGGGGUUGUGGGCAGACUUGAAGGUCUUCCGAGUUUAUAAAAGGGUCUUUAUAUGUGUAGAGUUCAGCAUUUUUCCAUAAGCAUAUAUCACCUCAGCCAAAUGGGAAGUCUUCCCCAGCCUAAUGUGAUUUUGCCCUGUUCUCUGUGAAUGAGGGACUAGGGACACAUUGAAUGAAAAACAGAUCUCUAGUCGAGGAUCUAGGAGCAAUGAAGGAAGCACACUUAAAAUUUAUAUUUUAAGUAUUAAAACAUAAAUCAUUAAA
Talpa occidentalis (Iberian mole) is the source of this 901-nucleotide long non-coding RNA. RefSeq lists it as uncharacterized. The transcript has 5 exons. The record is from RefSeq and is a predicted model, not a curated record. NCBI's taxonomy places the organism in Eukaryota, Metazoa, Chordata, Mammalia, Eulipotyphla, Talpidae.